AUGAACGCUGGCGGCGUGCCUAAUACAUGCAAGUCGAGCGAACGGACGAGAAGCUUGCUUCUCUGAUGUUAGCGGCGGACGGGUGAGUAACACGUGGAUAACCUACCUAUAAGACUGGGAUAACUUCGGGAAACCGUAGCUAAUACCGGAUAAUAUUUUGAACCGCAUGGUUCAAAAGUGAAUGACGGUCUUGCUGUCACUUAUAGAUGGAUCCGCGCUGCAUUAGCUAGUUGGUAAGGUAACGGCUUACCAAGGCAACGAUGCAUAGCCGACCUGAGAGGGUGAUCGGCCACACUGGAACUGAGACACGGUCCAGACUCCUACGGGAGGCAGCAGUAGGGAAUCUUCCGCAAUGGGCGAAAGCCUGACGGAGCAACGCCGCGCGAGUGAUGAAGGUCUUCGGAUCGUAAAACUCUGUUAUUAGGGAAGAACAUAUGUGUAAGUAACUGUGCACAUCUUGACGGUACCUAAUCAGAAAGCCACGGCUAACUACGUG
This 496-nucleotide ribosomal RNA is filed under the name uncultured bacterium. RNAcentral's name for it is "partial 16S ribosomal RNA". It matches the Rfam family "Bacterial small subunit ribosomal RNA", at positions 29 to 507 of the family's 1533-position model. The record is from RNAcentral.